Long non-coding RNA from Myotis brandtii (Brandt's bat), 556 nucleotides. RefSeq lists it as uncharacterized. Lineage: Eukaryota; Metazoa; Chordata; Mammalia; Chiroptera; Vespertilionidae. The record is from RefSeq and is a predicted model, not a curated record. The transcript is spliced from 2 exons.
UUGCCGGCUCCCGCCGCAGCUCUGAGCAGCUCCGAGCCGCGCUCCGCCCAGAUGGUGCCGAAAGUGAAAUAGGAAGCUCCUGUCCCUCCCAAAGCCAAAGUCAAAGCAAAGGCUUUGAAGGCAAAGAAAGCAGUGAUGAAAGAUGUCCACCGCCACCAAAAAAAGAAAGAAAAAAGGAGGAAGAAGAUCUACACGCUGCCCACCUUCCUACUGCCCAAGAGACUGCAGCUCCCAAAACAGCCCAAAUAUCCUGGGAAGAGCGCCCCCAGGAGAAACAAGCUUGACCACUAUGCCAUCAUCAAGUUCCCCCUGACUACCGAGUCAGCCGUGAAGACAGAAGACCACAAUGCACUGUGUUCAUGGCGGAUGUCAAGGCCAACAAGCACCAGAUCAAGCGGGCUGUGGAGAAGCUCUAUCAGGCCUGAUGGAGAGAAGAAGGUAUAUGUUCAACUAGUUCCCGAUAAUGAUGCUCUGGAUGUUGUCAACAAAAUGGAAUCAUCUAAACUGAGUUUAGCUGGCUAAUUCUAAAUAUGAAAAUUUUUUCACUGUAAAAAAA